This is a non-coding RNA of Diachasma alloeum, 74 nucleotides long. The record is from the annotation of a RefSeq genome assembly. NCBI's taxonomy places the organism in Eukaryota, Metazoa, Arthropoda, Insecta, Hymenoptera, Braconidae.
GUCCUGGUAGCUCAGAUGGUAAGAGCACCCGACGGUAAAUUGGGAGGUCCCGGGUUCGAUUCCCGGCUAGGAAG